UACGGGGGGGGCAAGCGUUGUUCGGAAUUACUGGGCGUAAAGGGCUCGUAGGCGGCCAACUAAGUCGGACGUGAAAUCCCUCGGCUUAACCGGGGAACUGCGUCCGAUACUGGAUGGCUUGAGAUUGGGAGAGGGAUGCGGAAUUCCAGGUGUAGCGGUGAAAUGCGUAGAUAUCUGGAGGAACACCGGUGGCGAAGGCGGCAUCCUGGACCAACACUGACGCUGAUGAGCGAAAGCGUGGGGAGCAAACAGG
RNAcentral lists this ribosomal RNA (253 nucleotides) under uncultured bacterium. Its description in RNAcentral is "partial 16S ribosomal RNA". It matches the Rfam family "Bacterial small subunit ribosomal RNA", at positions 524 to 776 of the family's 1533-position model. The record is from RNAcentral.